This 460-nucleotide ribosomal RNA is filed under the name uncultured bacterium. Its description in RNAcentral is "partial 16S ribosomal RNA". It matches the Rfam family "Bacterial small subunit ribosomal RNA", at positions 338 to 795 of the family's 1533-position model. The record is from RNAcentral.
CCUACGGGAGGCAGCAGUGAGGAAUAUUGGUCAAUGGACGCAAGUCUGAACCAGCCAUGCCGCGUGCAGGAAGACGGCUCUAUGAGUUGUAAACUGCUUUUGUACGAGAGUAAACGCAGAUACGCGUAUCUGUCUGAAAGUAUCGUACGAAUAAGGAUCGGCUAACUCCGUGCCAGCAGCCGCGGUAAUACGGAGGAUUCAAGCGUUAUCCGGAUUUAUUGGGUUUAAAGGGUGCGUAGGCGGUAGGAUAAGUUAGUGGUGAAAUCCUGCGGCUCAACUGCGGAAUUGCCGUUGAUACUGGUCGGCUAGAGAGCAGUAGCGGUAGGCGGAAUGUGUGGUGUAGCGGUGAAAUGCUUAGAGAUCAUACAGAACACCGAUUGCGAAGGCAGCUUACCAGGCUACAUCUGACGUUGAGGCACGAAAGCGUGGGGAGCAAACAGGAUUAGAUACCCCUGUAGUC